GAUGAAGAACGCAGCGAAAUGCGAUAAGUAAUGUGAAUUGCAGAAUUCAGUGAAUCAUCGAAUCUUUGAACGCACAUUGCGCCCGCCAGUAUUCUGGCGGGCAUGCCUGUUCGAGCGUCAUUUCAACCAUCAAGCCCCCGGCUUGUGUUGGGGACCUGCGGCUGCCGCAGGCCCUGAGAAGCAGUGGCGGGCUCGCUGUCACACCGAGCGUAGUAGCAUACAUCUCGCUCUGGGCGUGCUGCGGGUUCCGGCCGUUAAACCACCUUCAUAACCCAAGGUUGACCUCGGAUCAGGUAGGAAGACCCGCUGAACUUAAGCAUAUCAAUAAGCGGAGGA
RNAcentral lists this unclassified non-coding RNA (336 nucleotides) under soil metagenome. RNAcentral's name for it is "partial contains 5.8S ribosomal RNA, internal transcribed spacer 2, and large subunit ribosomal RNA". The stretch from base 1 to 120 matches the Rfam family "5.8S ribosomal RNA", at positions 35 to 154 of the family's 154-position model. The record is from RNAcentral.